Molecule: long non-coding RNA, 382 nt
Organism: Cannabis sativa
Lineage: Eukaryota; Viridiplantae; Streptophyta; Magnoliopsida; Rosales; Cannabaceae
Exons: 2
Source: RefSeq, a predicted model, not a curated record
UGAAGUUGGGUGUGAAUUGGAGCUUUGGAUUGUGGUUUCUUGAGCUUGAAGUUUAGGAUUACCGGCACCUGAUCAGGAGCACCCAGGGGUUUGGAAUCUCUGUUAUUGCGGGACAACAGGAAAGGGUAAGUCAGUGGCUGAUCAACCAUGAGUUUGAGGAGCAAAACGAAGAAUGUACAUGUUCAAGCCAUAUCAGACCAAGCGGGUUAAGGGUCUAUCAGUGUUGAACUUUUGAAUUCUGUUUUGCCGCUUAGGUCGGCUAGAAAGAAAAGACUUGUAAUAAGUUUGUAAUUAUUUUUGGGAUCCCAACUAUUUUGAAAGUUUAAAUAUAUUACAAGUUUAUUUUCAUUCUGUUUAAUAUAAAAGUUUAAAUUCUGCGCUA